This is a long non-coding RNA of Limulus polyphemus (Atlantic horseshoe crab), 991 nucleotides long. RefSeq lists it as uncharacterized. The transcript is spliced from 2 exons. Lineage: Eukaryota; Metazoa; Arthropoda; Merostomata; Xiphosura; Limulidae. The record is from RefSeq and is a predicted model, not a curated record.
ACACCUAUAAAUUAAUCUUGCAUUGAGGGGAGGUUUACGAGUUGUAGACAUUUUGUGGAACAUAUCCAACCACUUCAAGACUAUUUAAGGUACGCCCCCCCAGUGGCACAUAUCAAACCACUUCAGGACUAUUUAAGGUAUGCCCUCCAGUGGCACAUAUCAAACCACUUCAGGACUAUUUAAGGUAUGCCCUCCAGUGGCACAUAUCAAACCACUUCAGGACUAUUUAAGGUACACUUUGUUCAUGAAUCUAUAUGGCAAUAGUUCUGUUCUAAAUAGGGAAGUAAAGUGUUAAUAAUUUCUUUUAUGAACUCGUAUUGUUUCUAAGUGAAACCUAGUUGUUUUUGUACUGUGUUAUGAAUAACUUAGCCACUGUGAUAACUUUGACUUCUAAGCUUUUAAUGUGGUGACAAACUACUCUGGGGGGGAUAAUUCAGCCUUAAUUGUCAGCAGUAUGAGAACUUGUAGGGUAAAAUCUCUGCAUUACACACAAAGUAAUGAAUCUCUACAUAGAAAUUUUACAGAUUUAUUAUUAGUCAAGUAUAAAUUAUAUAUAUAUCUAACUGUAUAUUUUGUUUUCUAAAUCCAAAAUUUACUCUGUAUUUUUAGAAAAAGAGCUUUUAAAAACCUUUAUUUUUGCAGUGGCCCACUGGGAGGCCUGUAAUUAUGUACCAAGGCACUGAUUCAAAUUUGUAGUAAUCAUAUUAAUAUACUUUAAUGAAAGAUCUUCUUGUCGUAAAAUCAUUAAUUUGUGAAUUUUAUUUGCAUGUUGUUGUUUUUCAAUGUCUAGUUCAUUUAAUUUCAUUCUACAUGUAAUUUGUUCAUUAUUUUAUUGAUGCCAGUUAUUAAAAACAUUUUUACAUUACACAUUUACUGAGUAUAGAACAAAGCUGUAAUGUGGAUGGACACAAAUAUUAUGCAAGGUUUGUUGAAUGUAACACUUAAAAUCAUCAGAAAAUAAAAUUUGAAUUAAACCAUGUAUAUACUUUUU